GAUGAAGGCCUUCGGGUUGUAAACUUCUUUUCUCUGCGAUGAAUAUGACAGUAACAGAGGAAUAAGGGUCUGCUAACUACGUGCCAGCAGCCGCGGUCAUACGUAGGACCCAAGCGUUAUCCGGAUUGACUGGGCGUAAAGAGUUGCGUAGGUGGUUUGUUAAGCGAAUAGUGAAAUCUUGUGGCUCAACCAUAAGGCUAUUAUUCGAACUGGCAAACUCGAGAACAGGAGAGGUAUCUGGAAUUCCCAGUGUAGGAGUGAAAUCCGUAGAUAUUGGGAGGAACACCAAUGGCGUAGGCAGGAUACUGGACUGUUUCUGACACUAAGGCACGAAAGCGUGGGGAGCGAACUGGAUUAGAUACCCAGGUAGUCCACGCUGUAAACUAUGGAUGCUAGCAGUAAGCCGUAUCGACCCGGUUUGUUGCGAAGCUAACGCGUUAAGCAUCCCGCCUGGGUAGUACGGUCGCAAGACUA
Molecule: ribosomal RNA, 474 nt
Filed under: uncultured bacterium
Lineage: Bacteria
Description: bacterial SSU rRNA
Rfam family: Bacterial small subunit ribosomal RNA
Source: RNAcentral